RNAcentral lists this non-coding RNA (21 nucleotides) under Caenorhabditis elegans. Lineage: Eukaryota; Metazoa; Nematoda; Chromadorea; Rhabditida; Rhabditidae. The record is from RNAcentral.
UGUCCCAACUGCUGCAUGGAC